Oncorhynchus keta (chum salmon) is the source of this 2566-nucleotide long non-coding RNA. RefSeq lists it as uncharacterized. Lineage: Eukaryota; Metazoa; Chordata; Actinopteri; Salmoniformes; Salmonidae. The transcript is spliced from 2 exons. The record is from RefSeq and is a predicted model, not a curated record.
CAACGUUACACUGUUGAGAGUUACGCAAGAGGGAAAAUGGUGCAUGUUUUGUUUACUUGCUCUAUUGAAUACAGAUUGCCCCGUCUACAAUUUGAUCGAUUAUUAACCACUUACCGAGAUAGCUAACUAGCUCCUAAAUUAGAAAUACAACUGCAAAUAAUUUAGCACAUUUUAGACAGUUAACUUAAUAGUUCUAAGAUAUCUAGUUGACAAACAUUUAGUUGUGAAUUCCAUACUGUAAUUAGAUCACCAAGCGCACACUGCACAACAGAAUGGCUGAACGAAACAGAACAUUUCUGUUUUUUAGGACUAGAGAGCUCGCCAUCUUAUGACUGCGCCACGAGUUGUGGAACAAUGAAAUCAGAUUCAGAUACCCUUCAUUUGACGUAGACGACUGAGGUGCGUUCAGUUUGCUUGAACGUUUGCUACAUUACUGAACAGUUUUUACUGAACGACACGUUUCCCCAAAACGUUAUUGAACAGACUUUGAGGUACGUUUGCUCCUGUUUGGUGUUGUGUAAUUUUUUUUUAAAUAUGAAAAUAUAUCACAUUACACGCAAUGACAGAAUGCAAUGUAAACUUCACGGACAGAAACACUUGUAUGUUUUAUCGAUAGGAGUGGGAAAAAAAGCUUGUGGUUGUGAAUUGUUAAGCUUACCAAAGCACACCAUAGUAGGCAUUAACGAUAAGUAAUCAAAUAAAGAUGUUUUUCACACCAUAGCCUGCAGGAGUUGCACUAACUAUUCUUUCAUUUUGAUUAGUCAGUCAUUAUUGUCAGGUAGGUUUUACAGUCCGUGUUAGGAGAAGAGGGCUGUGGUUCCUAUCAGGGGGGUUGCUGGGUAUUUGAUUGGUAAUAUGGGUAGAUGUUUAGAGUGAAGAUCUGAUUAUAGAUUAUUCACACUGGGAGAGAAUGUGUUUUCUUUCUUCACUCUAUGUGUGGACGUCAAUGAACAGUUCCCAUUCUCCCAUACAGCCUCUCAAUCGCAGCCUGGUUUGAUUAGUCGACCUGGAUCCGUAACUUUGUUACUGUGAUAAACCAGGAGUGUUGAGUGGAAUUACUCAAGUCGUUGCUUUGAAACUGCAGCUUGUUGGUACAGGCAGGCAUGCGCUCACCCAACAACACUAGUAACAAACUGUGUUUUCUACUCAAGUAGGAUGACUAGUGUAACCACAGCACCAUCAAGUGGCUCAACUGGUAACUGCAGUAUUUCACAUCACUACAGUUACGUUCAUACUAAAGCCAUUCCUAUCCCUGCCUCAGCCCUGUCCUUCCUCCUACUUUCUCCUGCUGUAGCUGUGGUUUCUAGUAAACUGCCCCUAGUCUAUUAGAGAGAGAGAGAGCGGUGUUUAUCUUAGAAAGGGGGGAUGUUAUGAAUGUUGUCCACAGGUGCACGCAAACAUGACACAGGACUGGAGUACCUGUUUUUGUCCAGGUGGAGGCAGGAGUGGUCAAUACUGCACAGAGGAGGGCCCGGAGAACAAGAAAGAUGAAGAAGAGGAGGGCUACCUUUCCAAAAUCAAGAACAUCUUUAGCUGAUAGUCACAUCUCAGUUAGGACCCCUUUACAUUAGAUCUGUAAUGUAUUUGUCUCAUUUUAACAUGAGCAAUCAUAUACAUUCAUAACACACAUACACUCUAUCAUAUCAUUCCUCCAAGCAGCGGUGUGGCUGUUCUAUUGUAGAUAAUAUGUAUAACUAAAUAUACUGUACCUGUUCCUAAUUAUUCUCCUUAGGCCUAUUCCAUAGAACCAGCCUCACACCUGUCUCCCACCCCUCCCAUUAACCCUGACCAAAAUAGUCACUUUGUGAAGAGUUUGUCUGACCCCUAUUUUUAAUUUCCUCUCCGCAGAUAAGAGAUCAACAGGACAAUAAUGGGAGAAGGAAAGCUGCUGGUGCUCCGUCCCUCUCACUACCCUCCCACACCAAACGCCUGGAUAGAGAGGGAAAGAAAGGGAGGAGAAAUUGAGAGAGAGGGGUUUGGAUGUGAGGAGAGGACAUCGAUAUUCAGGGAAUGGCCCAUCAAGGAGUCAAGCCACACACUGACACUGCUCAGUCCCCAAAGAGACAGGUGUUGGGUUGGGACACUAAGGACUUGUAAUAACUGGAGGGGGAUCAGAGUGGAUGCCAGCCAGUGUCUGCAUGCUUGGCAAGGAAGGGAAGACGAGAAGACUAGCGGGGAGGAGAAGAGAGGACAUGAGCGAGCAAUGAGUGUGUUCCAGACACCAACAUUCUGCACAGACGCUCAGGGCCUGUAUUCAUAAAGCUACUAACAGUAGGAGUGCUGAUCUAAAAUGCAAAACUGUUCCCAAAUCAGCCUUCCUACUCUGAGACGCUUUGUGAAUACAGCGUCCAACACCUCAGGAACCACGUUUAUAUGAUAUAAUGAUCCUAUAAUCUGCACAGUAUUUGGGUGUCUAGAACACAGCCAUUUGCAUCAUGUUGUGGUCUGAUAAAGGCCGAUGCAUUUAGUUGUAUUGUCAUUGUGGUGUUGUUGUAUGUGUAAGGGACAACACAGCUCUGCAAGACUUACCUAGGUUUAAAUAAAUAACAUUUUAUAGUAAAAACAA